AUAUUGAUGUAAACUGUUAUGCUGAUAAAGAAUGUCUAAGUACAAUGACAUGUAUAGGUGGGACCUGUCAAUGUGCAAAGAAUCAGUAUUGGACAGGUUAUACUUGUUCUGCAGAAAAAAGUGUGAAUGAAACAUGUACUGCUAAUAACGAAUGUGCCACUACACUGAAUUGUUCAAGUGGGCGUUGUCAAUGUUCUACAAAUCAGUAUUGGACAGGAUCAGAUUGUUCGGAAC
Mytilus californianus (California mussel) is the source of this 234-nucleotide long non-coding RNA. RefSeq lists it as uncharacterized. Lineage: Eukaryota; Metazoa; Mollusca; Bivalvia; Mytilida; Mytilidae. The transcript has 2 exons. The record is from RefSeq and is a predicted model, not a curated record.